Molecule: unclassified non-coding RNA, 258 nt
Filed under: uncultured Eurotiales
Lineage: Eukaryota; Fungi; Ascomycota; Eurotiomycetes; Eurotiales
Description: sequence contains 5.8S rRNA gene, ITS2, 28S rRNA gene
Rfam family: 5.8S ribosomal RNA (bases 1-52)
Source: RNAcentral
AACGCACAUUGCGCCCCCUGGUAUUCCGGGGGGCAUGCCUGUCCGAGCGUCAUUGCUGCCCUCAAGCACGGCUUGUGUGUUGGGCCGCCGUCCCUCUCCCGGGGGACGGGCCCGAAAGGCAGCGGCGGCACCGAGUCCGGUCCUCGAGCGUAUGGGGCUUCGUCACCCGCUCCGUAGGCCCGGCCGGUCGCCUGCCGACGACCAAUCUUCCUUCUCCAGGUUGACCUCGGAUCAGGUAGGGAUACCCGCUGAACUUAA